Molecule: small nucleolar RNA, 81 nt
Filed under: Olea europaea subsp. europaea
Lineage: Eukaryota; Viridiplantae; Streptophyta; Magnoliopsida; Lamiales; Oleaceae
Source: RNAcentral
CAGACUGAUUCAAAACAGCACCAGAAGAAGCAGUCUGAGCAGAAAAGGAUGUGGCAAAAGGUCUUCCCAUAGUAUCUGAAA